GAGGUGACAUUUGCUAGUCCCUCGGGAUUACAUUUGACUCGCUGAAGUUGACCGAACUUGAUGAUUUAGAGGAAGUAAAAGUCGUAACAAGGUUUCCGUAGGUGAACCUGCGGAAGGAUCAUUACUGUUCGAUCAUCGAUCACAUCAUCGAUACGACACAGCGUGCGAGAGAGACACAGUGUGUGUGUGUGGUCUGGAACCACCCGACACACGCGUUGGUAGUGUACUGCACAAAAGUGUGUUCACACAUGUGUGAAGUGUGUGAAUUGCAUUGCGUGUGUGUAAUGUGCACAGCAGCAAGCAGCAAGCAAGAGGUUGUUGUUUAUAUUUGCGUUACGUUUGUUUGACACUCUCGUUUUUGAUACAAUCAUUCUAGUGUAAAACCCUAGGCAGGGGAUCACUCGGCUCGUGGAUCGAUGAAGACCGCAGCUAAAUGCGCGUCAGAAUGUGAACUGCAGGACACAUGAACACCGACAAGUUGAACGCAUAUUGCACAUCGUACAUCACGUACGAUGUACACAUUUUUGAGUGCCUAUAUUUAACCAUUUAACUAUUACGGGCCCCCCCGCCCGUAAUGCGUAGUGAUGUUUUCCUAGCACAACGCAACGCAACGCGCUGGUAAAACAUUUAAGUGUAAGUGGUCUCUUCUCCUCCCGUCCGUCCGACCGACGUCGAGAGAAUAGAGAAGAUGAUGAGUACAUCCCAGCGAGCGAGCGAGCAAGCAAGCUGUUGUACACCAUCACCUCCAUGUAUGUAUAUAAAAGUAGGCCUCAAAUAAUGUGUGA
This 785-nucleotide ribosomal RNA is filed under the name Mimomyia splendens. Its description in RNAcentral is "eukaryotic LSU rRNA". The stretch from base 382 to 534 matches the Rfam family "5.8S ribosomal RNA". Lineage: Eukaryota; Metazoa; Arthropoda; Insecta; Diptera; Culicidae. The record is from RNAcentral.